GGGAUAUUGCACAAUGGAGGAAACUCUGAUGCAGCGACGCCGCGUGAGUGAAGAAGUAUUUCGGUAUGUAAAGCUCUAUCAGCAGGGAAGAUAAUGACAGUACCUGACUAAGAAGCCCCGGCUAACUACGUGCCAGCAGCCGCGGUAAUACGUAGGGGGCAAGCGUUAUCCGGAUUUACUGGGUGUAAAGGGAGCGUAGACGGGAUGGCAAGUCUGAAGUGAAAUCCUGCGGCUUAACCGCAGAAUUGCUUUGGAAACUGUCAACCUGGAGUGUCGGAGAGGUAAGCGGAAUUCCUAGUGUAGUAGUGAAAUGCGUAGAGAUUAGGAAGAACACCGGAGGCGAAGGCGGCUUACUGGACGAUAACUGACGUUGAGGCUCGAAAGCGUGGGGAGCAAACA
Molecule: ribosomal RNA, 399 nt
Filed under: uncultured bacterium
Lineage: Bacteria
Description: bacterial SSU rRNA
Rfam family: Bacterial small subunit ribosomal RNA
Source: RNAcentral